UAGGCGUAUAGCUCAGUUGGUAGAGCAGCGGUCUCCAAAACCGCAGGUCGUGGGUUCGAAGCCUACUGCGCCUGAC
RNAcentral lists this transfer RNA (76 nucleotides) under Termitinemataceae bacterium. Its description in RNAcentral is "tRNA-Trp". It matches the Rfam family "tRNA". From Rfam's summary of the family: Transfer RNA (tRNA) molecules are approximately 80 nucleotides in length. Their secondary structure includes four short double-helical elements and three loops (D, anti-codon, and T loops). The record is from RNAcentral. Lineage: Bacteria; Pseudomonadati; Spirochaetota; Spirochaetia; Spirochaetales; Termitinemataceae.